RNAcentral lists this transfer RNA (59 nucleotides) under Deroceras reticulatum. Its description in RNAcentral is "tRNA-Cys". The record is from RNAcentral. Lineage: Eukaryota; Metazoa; Mollusca; Gastropoda; Stylommatophora; Agriolimacidae.
AGAGUGAUAAUUUAAGUAAAAUGUUAAAUUGCAAAUUUAAAAAUGUGUGUCUCAUUCUU